CUACGGGCCGCUGCAGUGGGGAAUAUUGCACAAUGGAGGAAACUCUGAUGCAGCAACGCCGCGUGGAGGAUGACACUUUUCGGAGCGUAAACUCCUUUUAUAUAGGAAGAAGAUGACGGUACUAUAUGAAUAAGCGCCGGCUAACUCCGUGCCAGCAGCCGCGGUAAUACGGAGGGCGCAAGCGUUACUCGGAAUCACUGGGCGUAAAGAGCGUGUAGGCGGAUUAAAAAGUCAGAAGUGAAAUCCUAUAGCUUAACUAUAGAACUGCUUCUGAAACUCUUAAUCUAGAAUAUGGGAGAGGUAGAUGGAAUUUCUGGUGUAGGGGUAAAAUCCGUAGAGAUCAGAAGGAAUACCGAUUGCGAAGGCGAUCUACUAGAACAUUAUUGACGCUGAGACGCGAAAGCGUGGGGAGCAAACAGGAUUAGAUACCCCUGUAGUC
Molecule: ribosomal RNA, 439 nt
Filed under: uncultured bacterium
Lineage: Bacteria
Description: partial 16S ribosomal RNA
Rfam family: Bacterial small subunit ribosomal RNA
Source: RNAcentral